RNAcentral lists this ribosomal RNA (844 nucleotides) under Escherichia coli. RNAcentral's name for it is "partial 23S ribosomal RNA". It matches the Rfam family "Bacterial large subunit ribosomal RNA", at positions 1 to 888 of the family's 2925-position model. Lineage: Bacteria; Pseudomonadati; Pseudomonadota; Gammaproteobacteria; Enterobacterales; Enterobacteriaceae. The record is from RNAcentral.
GGUUAAGCGACUAAGCGUACACGGUGGAUGCCCUGGCAGUCAGAGGCGAUGAAGGACGUGCUAAUCUGCGAUAAGCGUCGGUAAGGUGAUAUGAACCGUUAUAACCGGCGAUUUCCGAAUGGGGAAACCCAGUGUGUUUCGACACACUAUCAUUAACUGAAUCCAUAGGUUAAUGAGGCGAACCGGGGGAACUGAAACAUCUAAGUACCCCGAGGAAAAGAAAUCAACCGAGAUUCCCCCAGUAGCGGCGAGCGAACGGGGAGCAGCCCAGAGCCUGAAUCAGUGUGUGUGUUAGUGGAAGCGUCUGGAAAGGCGCGCGAUACAGGGUGACAGCCCCGUACACAAAAAUGCACAUGCUGUGAGCUCGAUGAGUAGGGCGGGACACGUGGUAUCCUGUCUGAAUAUGGGGGGACCAUCCUCCAAGGCUAAAUACUCCUGACUGACCGAUAGUGAACCAGUACCGUGAGGGAAAGGCGAAAAGAACCCCGGCGAGGGGAGUGAAAAAGAACCUGAAACCGUGUACGUACAAGCAGUGGGAGCCUCUUUAUGGGGUGACUGCGUACCUUUUGUAUAAUGGGUCAGCGACUUAUAUUCUGUAGCAAGGUUAACCGAAUAGGGGAGCCGAAGGGAAACCGAGUCUUAACUGGGCGUUAAGUUGCAGGGUAUAGACCCGAAACCCGGUGAUCUAGCCAUGGGCAGGUUGAAGGUUGGGUAACACUAACUGGAGGACCGAACCGACUAAUGUUGAAAAAUUAGCGGAUGACUUGUGGCUGGGGGUGAAAGGCCAAUCAAACCGGGAGAUAGCUGGUUCUCCCCGAAAGCUAUUUAGGUAGCGCCUCGUGAA